CAGCCGCCGCGGGAAUACGAAGGGUGCAAGCGUUAAUCGGAAUUACUGGGCGUAAAGCGUGCGUAGGCGGUUUGUUAAGUCUGUUGAGGAAUCCCCGGGCUCAACCUGGGAAUGGCAAUGGAUACUGGCAAGCUAGAGUGUGUCAGAGGAUGGUGGAAUUCCCGGUGUAGCGGUGAAAUGCGUAGAGAUCGGGAGGAACAUCAGUGGCGAAGGCGGCCAUCUGGGACAACACUGACGCUGAGGCACGAAAGCGUGGGGAGCAAACAGGAUUAGAUACCCCCGUAGUCCCUGUCUCUUAUAC
RNAcentral lists this ribosomal RNA (301 nucleotides) under uncultured bacterium. RNAcentral's name for it is "partial 16S ribosomal RNA". It matches the Rfam family "Bacterial small subunit ribosomal RNA", at positions 509 to 807 of the family's 1533-position model. The record is from RNAcentral.